AAAUUACUGGGCGUAAGCGCGCGUAGGUGGUUUAUUAAGUGGAUGUGAAAUCCCCGGGCUCAACCUGGGAACUGCAUCCAAAACUGAUUCACUAGAGUACGAAUAGAGGGAGGUAGAAUUCACAGUGUAGCGGUGGAAUGCGUAGAAUAUUGUGAAGAAUACCAAUGGCGAAGGCAGCCUCCUGGAUCUGUACUGACACUGAAGGUGCGAAAGCGUGGGUAGCGAACAGGAUUAGAUACCCUGGUAGUCCACGCCGUAAACGACGUCAACUAGCUGUUGGGGAACUAUGUUCUUCAGUGGCGCAGCUAACGUAGUAAGUUGACCGCCUGGGGAGUACGGCCGCAAGGCUAAAACUCAAAUGAAUUGACGGGGACCCGCACAAGCGGUGGAGCAUGUGGUUUAAUUCGAUGCAACGCGAAAAACCUUACCUAUACUUGACAUACUUGGAAUGCUUUGUAAUGAAGCAGUGCCUUCGGGAGCCAAGAUACAGGUGCUGCAUGGCUGUCGUCAGCUCGUGUCGUGAGAUGUUCCGUUAAGUCGGAUAACGAGCGCAACCCUUACCCUUAUUUGCCAGCGAUUCGGUCGGGAACUAUAAGGGGACUGCCGGUGAUAAACCGGAGGAAGGUGAGGACGACGUCAAGUCAUCAUGGCCCUUACGUAUAGGGCUACACACGUGCUACAAUGGAGAAUACAGACGGACGCUAAGCCGCGAGGUGGUGCUAAUCCUAGAAAAUUCUUCGUAGUCCGGAUUGGAGUCUGCAACUCGACUCCAUGAAGUCGGAAUCGCUAGUAAUCGCGAAUCAGCAUGUCGCGGUGAAUACGUUCUCGGGUCUUGUACACACCGCCCGUCAUACCAUGGAAGUGGAUUGCACCAGAAGUAGAUAGUCUAACCUUCGGGAGGGCGUUUACCACGGUGUGCUUCAUGACUGGGGUAAAGUCGUAACAAGGUAGCCGUA
RNAcentral lists this ribosomal RNA (956 nucleotides) under uncultured bacterium. RNAcentral describes it as "bacterial SSU rRNA". It matches the Rfam family "Bacterial small subunit ribosomal RNA", at positions 548 to 1504 of the family's 1533-position model. The record is from RNAcentral.